CCUCGGAUGCCUGGCUUAGCGCCGGAAGAAGUUCCUGAGGCCUAACCCUCGGAUGUCUGGCUUAGCGCCGGAAGAAUUCCCUGAGGCCUAACCCUCAGAUACCUGGCCUAGCGCCAGAAGAAUUUCAAGAGUCGGGAGUCAGCGAGACGCUACCAAGAGUUAAAAAGAAGGACGAAAGUGAAAUGAAGAAACUCUAUUUGCAUUAACUUUCAUUGUUUUAGGGCCGAGACCCAUACAACUUGGCAAAACGCCAACACACAAAGAAAAGAACAAAAAUACAGAAGGUCAGCUUGGAGAAACCCCCGGGUCGGGAACGCCGGGCACGUCCGCAGGGGGUAGGGAGGCGGUUGGAGAAUCAGCAGACAAUGGCGCCGGAGAGGAGUCUAGAAGAGAGAUCCCAC
This 401-nucleotide long non-coding RNA is filed under the name Phoenix dactylifera (date palm). RNAcentral describes it as "long non-coding RNA (PDAC_LNC022652)". The record is from RNAcentral. Lineage: Eukaryota; Viridiplantae; Streptophyta; Magnoliopsida; Arecales; Arecaceae.